AACUACCUAGCCGUCCAUCUCUCUCUCCCUUUCCCAUUUUCUCUCCCUGCCCCACGAUGCACGCAGCAGCCAGCAGCGCCCAGCGCUAGCGCUCCGCGCGGCCUGCGCUCCCCACGCCGCAGCUAGGUGCCCCGGCCAACGCCCCCUCCCAACGGCAAGCCGGUGCCCCUCCGCGGCGUGCAGCCAUGGCUGCCAGCCCGCAGCCGCCGCGGUUCGUUACCCUGCUCGACCGGCCCUAGCCCUUGCGCGCGGUCGGCCUGCCAGCGCGGCGGCGCGACCAGCUAGCACUAUCGUCGUCAUGCUCGUGUCCUCGUCGCUCGUUCGGUGCGUCGUGCACGCAACAUGUCGUCGUACCUCGCCUCGUCUCGCCGUCGUCGCGAGGUAAGCCUCGCCUACCCCUUGCGCGUAAUUCAGAUGAGGUUCGCCCGACGACACGCAAAAUGCUAAUUACACGUUUUAAACAAAGUCAUUUCGUCAUGUCGUUUAGGCUAAAUAAUUAGUUAAUGGUGUGGUUAUCGGUUGUUAAAAAACAUGAGGUUCAAUCGAAUCUAGUUUAUAAUUUUAAUUAUGCGAUUAUAAAUACUUGGCAAUGUGAUUUUAACCACUUAGAUGUUGUAUUUAAUAUCUAUUUAGUGUUUGGUAUAAAAACAACAUUUAGUUAGUGAGUCUUGCAUGUGGUGGUGCGCGUCGCUCGUGCUGUUUGGCUCGUGCUAAUUCACAUGCUGUCCAUGUGUGUCGUCAUUCACACGAGUCGUUAUUCACGCACUUUAAUAAAAUUAUUUCGUCACAUCGUUCAUGUUAAAUAAUUAAUUACUUAUUUAGUGUCGGUUAUUUAAAAUAAUAGUUCAAUCAAACCAAAUUUAUAAUUUUAAUUACACGCUCGCAAAUACCUGUUAUUGCGAUUAUGCCAACUUAAAUGUAUAUCUAAUAUUGGUUUAAUAAAAAAACGAUACAAUUUAGUAGUAUUCGUAGACCAUGUCAUUUAUUAGCCGUGAUGUGCUAAUUAUUCAAUACGUUAUGUGUCGCAAUCCUGUUUUGACUCGUUUCGGACGUGUCAACUCCAUACCAGUGUUAAUUUCAUUUUACUAAUAUUAUUUUGUCACGACGUAAGUUUUAAUCAAAUAGUUAAUUAUUUGUUGUACAAUAUUUAUUAGAAUAACAAUUUGAAUAAAACUAAUUUCUAGUUUUUAUUCGCGCUUUUAUAGAUACAUAUUAAUAUGAUUACGUCUGCUCGAAUAUUUUUGAAUUAAUACUUGUUAGUAUAGACGUAUUGCAGCGUGUGUCGUCUCUUGUCGAUCAUGUGUGUCUCACGCGCUGUCCGCACGUUAUUUAAUUAUUUCUGUUAUUGUCGUUUGCGCUAAUUAGUCAAUUAUUGUUUAGUCGUUGGUUAUUUAAAAUAACAAUUCAAUUAGAACGAGUCUGUUUUAACACACGAUUUUAUAAAUAUAAAUGAUAAUUAACUUGAGUGAUACCAGUAUAAAUACUCUUACUUAAUUAUUUGUUUACUGUUGUUAGCACGUGGCAUCGUUCGCGCGUCAUCGUGUUGUUCGCGCGCAUAGUCGCGUUGACUCAGGUGUGACGAGCACUGUCAUGCGCGUUGUUUCGUGUGUCCGUAUGUUGUUCGGCAUGCUGUCGUGCAUCAUCACAUGUCAUCCACGUGUGUUGCGCGCGCCGUUUUCACGUGUCAUGUGCUAUCUGUGCGCUAGGUCGCGUGCGGGCGUGCUGUUUCACGCGUUACGUAUUUCGUCUCGCUCCGCUAAUUCGUCCCGCUUAGAGUUGCUGAUAUUAUUUAAAUUACUUAUUUAACUAAGAAUUACUAGUGUGGUCAGCUAAUUAAAAUUGUGUGAUAGCUAUAGUUUCAUUUUAAAUAAAUAUCGAUUAAUAUAAGCAGAUCAAACUAAAUGUUAUGACUAAUACUCGUUUAUUGUAGACGCGAUAACUUCUCGAUCGUAGCUUCGUCUGUCGCGUUUCUUUUUCCUUGCGUGAUCGUAGUAACACGCUCUAUUUCAUUUUGCAUAUUUUAUUAUGUUUCUAUUUGAAUGGUGUAAUGUUCUUAUGUAUAUAUGUUUGUUUGUUUGUGCCUGUUUGUAUUCGAUGUGCGUCGCGAAUAGAUUGCGAUCCGGUUCCAAGCUUCGAGGGAUCGAGGAUCAAGCGUUGGCGACCAAGUGAUAUAGCUUUACGAGUUCUACGAUACUAAAGACCCUGAGCAUCUGUUUGGUGAAGGCAAGUGUCCUCUGACCCAUUAUGUCCCAUUUACUUUAUAAUACACUGUCCCGCAUACUAUGAACAACCUAAGGAUUUACUAGCUUUCUAUUUACAUUGUCCUUGAUUUACCUUUUGGGUUACUAUGGUUAGCUACCUGCUAGCGCUUUACUUUAAUCAAUGAACAUGAUGAGAUACAAUGAUGAUACUAUGAUUUUAUUCUGGAUAUGAUGAUAUACUGGUGGCAUUUAGGGGACUCGGGCUGUUUCCCGAGUACCUCUCCGUAAGGACCUGUUCGUUGAGAGACCACCCGGGAUAACAGUGCAACCAUGAGGGUGAAAUGGGAUGCCCUUAGCUAACUAAUUAGAGGAACUAGAGGUGUAGUUGCUUCGCCGUCGUGCCGUCAAUGGGGUCCAGGCACAGUGCUUGCUCUGCCGAGGCUGGGUGCCGAGGUCCUUUCGUUUUGCUUUUGUUAGUCACCUUCCUGCGGGGAGGAGUACUGUGUUUAUCAAACUGGAGAAACCUAACGGGCGGCUAUGACCUCUAGGGAAUCUUUGUAAAAGCUACGUAGUGAUACCCUGCCGGACCACCUAGGAAGUGAUCAAUGGGGAGUCAUGAUCCCCGGGCAAAACGGGAAUCACGGCUCAUGGGUAAAGUGUGCGACCUCUGCAGAGGGUAAUGAAACUGAUAUAUCAGCCGUGCUCACGGUUAAGAGCGGCCUUGGGAUCCUCCUUGAUUAGAGAUACAUAUGAUCUAAGAUACAAUGGUUAUAUUUAUGUUUUGGUUCGAUGAUGAUAAUGAUGUUCCUCGAUGAGGAAAUGAUUCACAGGUUGGUUACAUGAUAAAACUUGGCUUCCACUAAUAAUAAAUACCUGACCAACUAAAAGCAACUGCUUGAGCUAAACCCCACAUAAAGCUAGUCCACCUCAGCCAAACGGGACAUUUGCUGAGUACGUUGAUGUGUACUCACCCUUGCUUUCACAAAACACCAGGUUGCCUUUGGUGCAAUCUAUGCUCAGGUAAAGAAGAAGGAGUCGAGGCGGAUCUCUAGGAGUUCCAGGACUUCGACGAGUUCGAGGAUUAGGCUAGCGACCUCCCCCAGUCAGCUGCCUGUGGUGGGUUUGUUUACGUUGGCUACGUUUCUAUUCUGUGUACUUUGAUUUGUGCUAUGUAAAUGACUCUAGUCUUUAAUAUUAUUACUCAUUCUAUAUUGUUAUUCGAAGCAUUGUGCUAUGAUGAGUCAUUUAUGUAAUCGCUGUGUACGUGAAUUUCUGAUCCUGGCACGUACAUGGUUCGCAUUCGGUUUACCUUCUAAAACCGGGUGUGACAUAAGUGGUAUCAAAGCCGUGCUGACUGUAGGACCGCUGACCUAGAGUAGCGUUGGCCGUUUUAAGGACUUAUUGACUAUUACUUCACCCCAUCCUUGGUUCUGCUUCAAAAUAUUAGUCACCUCGACUAAUUCUAUGUUGUGCUCCUAUAUGCCCCCUUGACAAAAGUAUUUUAUUCUAGUAUGGUUUAUACUUCUCUCAAUCUAUUAGAUCCGAUCUCACUCUUGUGCUUGCGAUAUCUUUGUAGAUGCCCCUUACCAUGACCUUCUAGUCUCUUGGGAUUCUUUCCUCUUCCAUCAUUAAGUUGCUGCCAUUUGACAAUCAUUAUUCCCUUGGUAUUGACAUGCUUUUGAUUCUUCCAUACCCUUAUUCCUUAAUUCAAACACUUAACCCUAAAAACUCUAUUGCCUAGUUAAACAUUUCAGUUUAUAUGUCCAUGACCUUCCUGUCUUUUGAGAACCUUUCCUAUUCUAUUGUUAAGUCGCUAUCUUUUGGCAAUUUGUACUCUCUUCGUCUUGGUAUGCUCGUACCAUUGGAAUCUUGCAUACUAAUAUUUUUAUAUAUGCUUACCUUCAUAUCCCAAUGAUUGUUCAAAAAAUUUCGGUUAAUAUGCCCUUGAUCAUCCUUGCUUCUUGAUGGUCCAUGAGCGACCCUUCUAUUUCGCACAUCCUUGACGAUCUCACCGUUUCCUCAUAACUUCCCUCGAUAAUAAUUUUUGUUACUUCAACCAUUCUGUUGGGACCUUACCUAUCUCACCCUUGAUUGUCUUAUCCACUUCGCCACUUCGAGAGUCUUGCCUUAACUCUAUCCUGGGUUAUGAUUUCACGAUCAUCAUCUUUACCCUUGUCGCCUCUAUAUCUUACCUUGAUGCUUAUAUUAUACCCGUCCUUUAAAAACCUUCUCUCUGCCAUCUCAAUUUUAUAGUUGUAGUUUACCUAUUUUCCCUUGGUCGUAUUCUCUUCCUUAUCGCUUGCGAGUUUUUAACUCCAUCCCUUGUCGUGCUCCAGUUGGGUAUUACCUUUACCUUUCUCAUCCCUCGAUCUUACCUUUAACUACACUAUGUCCGUUCUCUAAAAUCUUCAAUCUCAUAUCUCAAUGUGAGAGCGAUGUUUUACUUAUCUUAUCCUUGGCAAUAUCCUCUUCUUUUCCGCGUGUAAGCCUUGACAUACCUCCAUUCUUUAUUGUGCUUAUACCACUCGCUCUUCUAAGUCUUCAUCUUUUCUCCUAUACUCUUGUCUGUUAUCGCCUUUGGCCCUUGCGAUAUUUAUGUCUUCUACCUAAAUGCUUACCUUGAACUUAUCCUUUAAAGCCUCUCCUUUAUUUUGAGAAAGUUUGAGGGUUGUGAUUUACCUAUCUCUCCCUUGAAUUCUUGUCACUUCGUGUCGCCUUACAAGUUUUGUGUUAAUUCCAUCCUUUGUUGUGUUUUAUUUGCUAUCACCAUCACCUUGUCAUCCAUCGAUCUUGCCUUAUACUCAUCUGUAUUCCCACUCUAAAAAAAUCUCCUCUCUUCCACCUCAAUUUGAGAGUGGCAGAUUACCUUUCUGGCCCAAGGACGUACCCUCUCCUUUUCCAUUUGCAGGUCUUGUCUUAACUCCAUCCUUUGUGGUAUUUAUAUUCUUGGUUCUUAUGCACAUUUACCUCCUCUCUUACAUCCUUGUCCGUUAUCACCUUUAAACCCUCAUGAUACCUAUGCCCUUGCCACAUGCCUACUUUUAACCUACCCUUUAAAGCCACCUCUCUUUCAUCGCUGUUUGAGAAUAAUACCUCACCUACUUCACCAUUGAUUGCUUCCCCUUCUUUGAUGCCUCUCAAGUUUUGUCUAAAAUAUAUCCUUGGUUGGAUUCUCUCCCUUGGCGGUUACAAUCAUUACUUUAGCUCCAUCCUUUAUUAUGCUCAUGCCCCUAUCCUCCAUGUCUUAUUAUUUCUCCUUGCCUUUUGUUGGCCUUAGAGUAGUUUCCUUUUUUAAGGAAAGACCACCAUUUAAUUAAAAGGAACAUAUAACAUCGAGAUGUUGGUGGUUGUAUGCUUGUGAUGUUUGUCUUUGUGUGAUGACCGAUUUGCUUCUUUGUGAUGAGUGUUGUUGUGUUGUGGCCUUUGGUCCGCAAUGACAUCAGUUUACUAGUUGGGUGCUCUCCCUUUUCUCUCUUUAAUCCAUUUAUGCUUACCUUUUCUAUCUUACCUUUUCUAUCUAUACUCUUUCCUCUUGCACCUGUCCAGUUUGCAACCUCCAACCUCUCUCAAUCAAUCAAGACCAGAGUCGACAGCAUCUUUAUCAAGUGCGUAUCAACGCUUCUGUUAAGGGGGUUAGUCGCUAACCCCAAUGAAGACAAUGUGAAUAACAUCAGCCAACAAGAUCAGAGUGGUGUAGCGAAAGCGUGUGUGGGUCCUAACCCACAGGUCCAAGGGAUCCUCAAGAAUUGUAUCGAUUGGUCUCAAGCGCCUGAAGGUCAAAGCAUCCAGUCCGCAAGCUAAGCUUGCAAAGUCAAAGUCAACUCAAGAAAGCCGUGAACAACGGAUGAACCAACCUUGUUUCUCUUGCUAGCUUCUUGAAUCUCGAGGGCGAGAUUCUGUUAAGGGGGUUAGAUUUGUAACACCCUGAAUUUGGGGGUAUAAAAUUUCUUUCCUAAUAUCCACCAAAUUCAGGUGUUACCCUCUUCUUCCUUUGCCUUUCUUUAUCUUUUCAAAGCAGUGAAGGAAUAUUUUGCUUUUAUGUAAGUAUUAGAUGUAUUAAUGAAACUCUAAAAGGGUUUUUUUGAUAGUUGCAUCACAUGCUGGAGCAUUAAUUUUGUUUGUUGUUGAUUGAGUUAAAAGAGUGUUACUAUUUAAUUUAUUCUCUUUUUGUGAAGCCCAACUUAAUUAAUAAUAGAAAUUUACCUAAAAAUAUCUAUUGAAUAUUUUAUUUGAAAAUAUUAUUAUUUCAAAUUAUUAUAUUUUUUCAUAUUUAGAAAGACAUAUUUAUUCAUAUAUUUCGAAUAACUUAUGUGAAAAAAAGAAAAGAAAAGGGAAUUUCGAAAUAAAUAAAUAAAAGAAGAAAAAAAAGAAAUCUAAAAAAACAACCGUCCGGGGGCAAGUCCACCCCACGUGCGCGCAUGUAGGCAUGCAGCGGCUAGCGCCCACGCACGCUAACGCCCAGCCGCUCCCACGAUCUCUCCUCGCGCCCGCGCGUCAGGUGCAUGCAGGAGCCCAAGCGCGUCAUCUCUCCCACGAAAAGAAAACUACCUAGCCGUCCAUCUCUCUCUCUGUGAUACCCGGUUUGCAAAGAAGAGAAGUUGAAGGUUAUUCUUUUUGUUUGUUUUUUCUCUUAUUCGGGUGUCGCGCUUUGGGGAUUUAGAAUUUGUGGAAAUCAUUCACCAGUAUAGCAGUAGAGUGGUUGGUCGGGAGCUGUCGUGCAAGCGAGUUGGGCCGCGAAUCGCAAUCCGGCCCACUAACCCUCCCCCUAACCCUAGCCGCCCCCCUUUUUCCCCCUUGGGUUGUUGCAGCCGCCCCUUCCCCUCCCCUUUCUCUUGGACGCCCCCCCUCUCCCAUCUUCUUCCUCCUCAAACCUUUGCAGCCCUCACCACCCAAAACCCUAGCCGCCCCCCCCCCCCCCCAUUUCUCCCCCUCCUCCAAGGUGCAGCCCUCCCGUGUGGUUCUCCGUCGUGUGGCUGCGAUCUCAAUUGGAGUUUGGAGGGAGGAAGAAGGAAGGAGGAAGGGAAGAACCUAAGGUGAAUUUGUGAUUAACUUUUGUUGUUUUUGUGCUGCAAUCAAUUGGAUUAUGUGUUUAUCUUUGCGAAUCGGUAGAGGUGCUGUCCAGGAAUUUUGUGAGUGGGUGAACAGCAGUAGUUCUAGGGAUUUCUGGGAAUUUUCGUGGGGUAAUUAGUGGGAAUCAGUGGGAUAAUCAUGUAGAGCUUUGUCAUACCUUUCCAACGAGUACUUAUGCGCUCGAUUCGGAGUUAUAAUUUAGGAGAUAUCGUUGUUUGAAUCCGGGUAUAUUGCUGUCCAAAAAAACAGAUUUUUCAGGUGGGUGAACAGCAGUAGUAUUAGCAGUUUCUGGGAAUUUUUCGUGGGUAAUUAGUAUUAACCAGUAUUAUAAUCAUGUAGGGCUUUGUCUUAUCUUUCCAAUGAGUACUUAUGUGCUUGAUUUGGAAUUAUAUUUUAAAAGAUAUCGCUGUUUGAAUCCGGGUAUGUUGCUGUAAAAAAAACAGAUUUUUCAGGUGGGUGAACAGCAGUAGUAUUAGCAAUUUCUGGGAAUUUUUCGUGGUUAAUUAGUGCUAACCAGUAUGAUAAUCAUGUAUGGCUUUGUCUUAUCUUUCCAAUGAGUACUUAUGCGCUUGAAUUGGAAUUAUAUUUUAAAAGUUAUCGCUGUUUGAAUCCGGGUAUGUCGCUGUCCAAAAGAGAAAAAAACAGAUUACAGGGUUCAUCUUGUGAACUGUUUUGGGCUAAUUAGAUGUUGGAGUUUAAUUAUAAAUUGUAUACAAAACUUGUGGGGAAUUUUAUGUAGAUGCCUCUGGAGUUUUUGUUUGUUACCAAUGCUGUCAUAAUUUUGAAGUUAUGAAAUUAUUAAGCAGCGCCGCUGCAGUUUGGUGGGUGUGGGGAGAGAUGUAACCCGCGGCGGGGUUUGAGUUUGUGCGUAGGUGCGGCGUCGUUUAUGAGCCUGGUUAUGUGAAAUUGGUGCACUAAGUUGUGUGUCAAAAACAGGUGGUGGACUUCCGGAUCGUACUUAGGGAUUUGCCCAAACUUCCGGUAAAGGCAAGUAAAUACAGUGGUGGUUGCUACCGUUUGGUUUGCAUCCUAUUCCCUGUCAUUGAGUAUGCAUAAGUUUUAAAUAUGUUAAUCAUUGAAUUCUAUGAUGAAGUUUAUUUGUUCGAAAGUAUUAAUUCUCAAUUGUCUAAUAUUGUGGAUGAUCAUGAUUUGGUAAUGAUAUAUGUGGUUGAUUCCUAUCAUGGAUGGAGUUGAAGUAUUUUUAUUUGAAUCACGUUAUAUGAAGUGUUGUAGGCAUGUCAUGCACAUUGCAUCAUCCAUCUUGCAUUCUGAAGUUAUGUCGUGAUCUUAUGGUCCGACUGUACCGGUACAUUUUUAGCAUCGUACGUUGUCCGAGGAGGGGUACGAUGCGGCUUCAUAUCCUUAGAGGUAUGAAGGCAGAAGUCAUCCUUGCAUUUGCAGACAUUUGCACUCAUGAGGUAUAUAUAUGAAGAGUGACAUUACUAUGUUACUAUUGUGGUUUCUACCUGCGAGGUGUGGUAGCUAGGAGUGUUGUACGUUGUAUACGUGCUGCACCUUUGUAAUAAGAAGGUUGUGAAAUCAAGUGGUGGUAAAACAAUAUUCUUAUGUGGUUAAACAGUUUGAUAUUAUUUUACUUGCUGAGAUGUGUCAUCUCACUCUUGCAUUACUCAAUGCAGGUACUUGAUAUAUGUUGGGAAUGAGGGGAGUAGCAGCACGUCCACUUUCACUCUCAUAAUAGCGCUGCCCAGGCGUAGCCAUGAUUUAAUUAGAAACUUGUUGUCAAAAGAAGUUAUUUUUUUUUGCUAGUCGUGCGCACUGGUUAAUUCAGUUCAUGUCGUAUGUUUAACUUCCCUUUGCUAGCCGAUUAAUAAUACUUGGUAUGUUUUUGUCAUGAUAUAUGUUUAUACAUUGUUGUCCCCCCCCCUCAUUUAUGCAAUUUUGCAAAGGAGAUGCUGCCAAAAUUUUAUAUAGAUGUCAGAAGUGUAGUUCAGUAGCAUUCCGGGGUGUUUGUGGAUCCCGGGGUGUUACAGUUGGUAUCAGAGGAUAGGCUUUAGAUUCUACGCAAUUUGAAGAUAAAUUUGACACACUUGCACAUAUAGGAAGGGU
RNAcentral lists this long non-coding RNA (9338 nucleotides) under Zea mays. Its description in RNAcentral is "long non-coding RNA (ZMAY_LNC003697)". The record is from RNAcentral. Lineage: Eukaryota; Viridiplantae; Streptophyta; Magnoliopsida; Poales; Poaceae.